Molecule: long non-coding RNA, 3653 nt
Organism: Equus asinus (donkey)
Lineage: Eukaryota; Metazoa; Chordata; Mammalia; Perissodactyla; Equidae
Source: Ensembl
GGUCCCUCUGGUUGUGCUGUGUGGGACGCCACCUCAGCGUGGCUUGAUGAGCGGUGCCAUGUCCACACCCAGGAUCCGAACUGGUGAAACACUGGGCCGUGGAGGCGGAGCACGUGAACUCACCCACUAGGCCACGGGCCUGCCCCUGGGAUUUUCGUUUAAAAUCAACAAAUAAAUCUUAAAGAGGGGCCGGCCUGGCCGAGUGGUUAAGUUUGCGUGCUCCGCUUCGGUGGCUCAGGGUUUCACCCAUUAGGAUCCUGGGCGCGCCAGGUCGGAUCCUUUUGAAGCGGUGGCAUCUGCAGCCCUUUGUUAAAGGCUCUACUUCCCAUCAGGCAGGGCAGCCUCUGUCUGCCUUCCACGGGUGCCGACAGGAAGCCUAGGCCUGUGGUUUUCCAGGAAGAAGGCAUAGGAGCUGAGCCCAAACUUUGCCUUCCUUAAAACUGCAAAGCUGGUGGUAGAAAUGUACAUGAGCCGCUGGGGUGGGAAGGCAUGUGAAUGUUUGCAAUGUAAGUGUUUAAUGAGAGAAGACGCAGGAAAACGGGGGGACGCCUUACCUUUGGUUGAGUGGGAAAGAAAUGAGAGAAAGGGGCCCAUUUACUGGGGGGAGAGGUCAAAGGUGUCUGCUUCCGGGUUGCCAAUGGGCCUGUUAGGUUUGUUGAUGACGAUAAACCUGAUAGAACUGGGUUUUUUCUUUCUUUCUUUUUUUUUUUUAAAAAAAAGCUUUGGUUAAGAGAGCCAUAACCUAGAGGGCUCUUUUAUUUUUCUUAAAUGGGGAAAUUACUUCGACCUAGAAGAGCUUUUUUUUAAAAACUUCACUCUAUAUUUAUUAUCAUUAGUAUUGAUAUAAUUUUGAAACUUUUAUGCAUAUAGAAUAAAGCAUGAAUUACUCCCUUGGGGAGGAGAUUGUUACAAAUGAAGAUUCCUAGGCCAGACUGGUUACAGAUGGGCCUCAGAGCAAACGUGUGGAAUGAUGGAUAUAAGGCUGAAUUUCUUAACUGUCGAAAAAGUAAGAAAGAACUUGAAAUUAGUAUGAGAAAUAAAACAGAUGACGGAAACUUUUUCGUGAAACAGUGCAACUACAAUAUGCGAAAAAGUAGACAGGUAAAGCACACACACUUGGGAAGUGGAAACAUCUCGAAGUACCGUAGAUGUGAGAAAUAGAAAGAUGACACUGCAGAGCCAUAGUCAGCUGAGCAUGGACGUUGAGAUACUUGUCCGGUAAUUAUCAGGGCCUUGAAGUAUAUGAAGUCCAUUUUUGCACCCCCACCCUCUUCUCUCCCUCUCAGUUUUCCACCCUGCAUUUUCACAGUCUGGGCGGCCCAGGAAAUGCCCUGUUGUCUCGGCUUUCCCUUGGCUCCACAAUUCACAUUUGCCUGCUAUCCCCACUUGAUCAGAUACACCAGCCGCUGGGAGAGGCUCAGGGGGUUUCUCUCCCGGGCAACUUCUUUUUCACAGUGAGUGCCCUGACAUCCAGAUGUCUCAACCGAAAGGACUGAGUUCAUAGUGAGAACCUCAGGUAUUCCACAGAGCCCAGAGGAGGAGGUAGCCAGGGGCAGGUGGAUGGUCUGUUCAGAUGUGCUCGUAGCAGCAGCCGAAGUGAGGAGAGUGUAAUUCACAAGAACGUCACUUCCCGUUUUUGGAGCUCAUCAGUGGGCAGGCACUGUGCAUUUUACUCAUUGUCUGAUUUAAUACACAGAACGAGCCUUUCGGCUAAGUUUUACGGAUAAACUGAGGAGGACAGUAUGUAAAUUAACGGGCACAGCUAUGUUCCAAUAAAACUUUACAAAACUGGCAAAGAGCUGGACAUUGUGGCCCCUCUAGGUCCACCCACAGAGGCUCUGGCUUAUCCAGCAGCUGCCUUGAAGGGCUGGACAGCUAAGCCCUAAAUGCAGGGAGGUUAACACCUAGUGGGACAGGCAAAAAGGCCAAUGAGAGAGCAGAAGCAGGAAGGUGCUGGCAGAUAAAUUGCUCAUACUUCCCUCCUCCCCCAAUGGAUGUUUCCGACAAGUGGUUUCAUACAGCCCUGAGCAACCAGCUGUGUUUCUUGGAAAUCUGUGGCCAGUUCAUAAAGGAUUUCAGCUGCUCCAGCCACAGGCCUCCUUUGGGUCCACCUGAUGAUCAGCAGCACCUUGGCCUUUCAAUUCAUUUCAUUCAACAGAAAUUUAUUGAGCACCAUGUGCAAAUUGAUUGAGCAAAGAUAAAAAGACAGUGUCCAAUAAAUAUGGGAGUGCUACCAGGCCUUAAUAAAGAAGAAUGCAGAAAGGACAAAGGCAUUGCCAGCACCAAAUAAACUAGUCAUAGAUAUAAGUGGAGGACGUGGAAAGAGAUAGAGAUCUCAUUGGACAGCAGAUUCUGAUUCCGGAUGUCUGGGGCGAGGUGCAAGACUGUGUUUCUAGCAAGCUCCCAGUGAUGUGGAUGCUGCUGGUCAAUGGCUCGUACUUUGAGCAGCAAGGCCCUAGAGCUUGUGUCUCAACCUGAAAAAGAAAGGGAACAUCCAGGCCGUAUUUAAAUUUGGGGAGGGCUUAGUUCAAAACAGAUGCAGAAAAACUGAUCAACAUCCAACUAAGCCAAAGAGCAUUGUAAGGCCCCAGGGAGUGAGGACUGUUUGGGACCAGCUUCGGACAGAAGUCAGGAUGCUGGGAGGAAAAGGAAGCAAAUGGAAGAGGAAGAAGAUAGAUAAGGACUGGGAGGGAUAAACGAAAGCGAUUUCGUGUUGAGAAAGAGAGAAUGUCCUUUCAGGUUGAAACUUAAAGAACAUUCCCCCAGUCUAGAUCAAAGCAGAGGCCGGGGCUCUGAUACACUCUGACAGAAGCGCUUUUUGCACAGAUGAGCAGCUCAGUGCCUUCAAAUGGACCAAUCUAAUUGCAAACGAAUCCCACCUCAUUGACACCAUUUUAAAUGCUUUCUCUCUGAAACCAACUAGCCAGUCAUUAAAUAAAUAAAGCUCAAAUGGAAAGCAAAACAGGGUUCACUUGACAGAGAUUCGAAUUUCAAUUCACAGCUAAAUUUGCUGGAACACAGCUAUUCUGUGAAGAAAGAACAAGUGUUAACAGUCUCAUGAAGUAAACGUAUCAAAAGUAACAGUAUAGUAAGCUGCAAUUGACAUUAGUGAUGGAAUAAACACCAAGGAAAAAGAAAAGGAAACAAAAAUACAUUAAAAGCUGCCUGUGGUAUCAGUAGUUAAUGCUAUUAUUCUUAAAUAAAUGUUUAAUGACUAAGAGAACAGAGCCACAAAUAAAUGGGCAAGCAUGAACAAUUAAGGAUAGUUCAAUGGUGAGUUAAAUCAAGGAAAGUGUUUUACAUGUAAAUCCACAUUUUGUGCUUUUUCUGAUGUGCAUGAAAGCAUAAGUAAUUCUACAUUCCUUCAUGGUUAGAAACAAUUAUUCUUACAUUUACAUAUCUAAAGACAUUUCUCUAGCAUUCUUAUAAUGAGGAAUGGCAGCAUUUCAGUUCAAUUCACCUUAUCCUAUAAACUGACAUUUGGAUCUUUCAGCUCAAAAAGAGAAAAAGUUUUUGUUUUUAAUGAAAAUUUCCAACACUCAAAAAGCAAUGUAAUGAUUUUGAGACCCAGAUGCUCAGCUGUGUAUUUGAGGUCAAUUGACAAACACUUAAGGCCGAUUCAAGGCAAAUUCUUUUCUAUAAAUCUGCUCUCU